This 237-nucleotide long non-coding RNA is filed under the name Lathyrus oleraceus (garden pea). RNAcentral describes it as "Pisum sativum (pea) long non-coding RNA (PSAT_LNC030033)". The record is from RNAcentral. Lineage: Eukaryota; Viridiplantae; Streptophyta; Magnoliopsida; Fabales; Fabaceae.
UUAAUCUCAAAAAAUUUAUCACUACAGGAAAGUGGCGACUCUACUGGGGAGUAGUCCCUAGCGGGUUAAGUCGAUCUUUGUUUUUUGUGUAUAUAUUAUGUUUGAUGUUGUUUGUUAUUGUUUGUUAUGUCUAGUACUUGGUGAUCUUUGUGUGGUGAGAUAAGUCCUAUACCCGGACUUGAGAGCUCUUAAAGAUAGGAGGGUGAUAUAGUCAUGUUUGGCUUACGUGGAGUUAAU